ACCUUUCCUUCUCCAAGGACCAACCACUGAACCCAAACUAAUCAAUACAAGGACUGAGUACUCGAGAAACUCCAAAACAGUCUUCAUAAGAUUUUAUUUUUCCCAUUGAUUUAUAAGAAGAACGAUAGAAAAACAUCAGUACAAGAGCAAAAUAAGGCAAAAGAGGGGUGGGGUUGUCAUUUUACUCUUUUAACUAACCCAAAUUCCUCUGUUUUCCUUUGGAUUUAAACAUCUUUAUUUUUGGUUUUGCAGCAUUAUAAACACAUAUAAACAUCCAUCCAUCCAUCCAUCCAUCCCACUACUACUAUUACUACUACUAAUUCAUUUAUAUAUUUGUCUCUUGCUAUUGAGUCAUCCCCCCCCACCUUCCUACUCCAUCAUCAUUUUGACUGACUCUCCCACUUCACUUCAAAAGAAAAAAGAAAAGAAGCAAAGAAAAACAUGUAAAAAGAGAUGAGAAAUUGCGAAAUAUUAAUGCAGAAGGGAUAAUAAAAAACGAAGAAGAUCCAUUUUUCCUGAUUUCCAUGUAUAUCCAACUUCUUUCUUUCACUCCGGCCGCCGCAUAUAGCUAAGCAA
RNAcentral lists this long non-coding RNA (576 nucleotides) under Linum usitatissimum (flax). RNAcentral's name for it is "long non-coding RNA (LUSI_LNC006443)". Lineage: Eukaryota; Viridiplantae; Streptophyta; Magnoliopsida; Malpighiales; Linaceae. The record is from RNAcentral.